CAUGCAAGUCGAACGAGGGAAGCAGCUUGCUGCGGACCUAGUGGCGGACGGGUGAGUAACGUAUAGGAAUCUACCUUGGGGUGGGGGAUAACGUAUGGAAACGUACGCUAAUACCACAUAACACUUACGAGUCAAAGCGGGGGAUCUUCGGACCUCGCGCCCUUAGAUGAGCCUAUAUUGGAUUAGCUAGUUGGUGGGGUAAAGGCCUACCAAGGCGACGAUCCAUAGCUGGUUUGAGAGGAUGAUCAGCCACAUCGGGACUGAGACACGGCCCGAACUCCUACGGGAGGCAGCAGUGGGGAAUAUUGGACAAUGGGGGCAACCCUGAUCCAGCAAUGCCGCGUGUGUGAAGAAGGCCUUAGGGUUGUAAAGCACUUUCGUUAGUGAAGAAAGGUUUAUGGUUAAUACCUGUGAAUUUGACAUUAGCUAAAGWAGAAGCACCGGCUAA
This 448-nucleotide ribosomal RNA is filed under the name Suttonella indologenes. RNAcentral's name for it is "bacterial SSU rRNA". It matches the Rfam family "Bacterial small subunit ribosomal RNA", at positions 54 to 500 of the family's 1533-position model. The record is from RNAcentral. Lineage: Bacteria; Pseudomonadati; Pseudomonadota; Gammaproteobacteria; Cardiobacteriales; Cardiobacteriaceae.